This 508-nucleotide ribosomal RNA is filed under the name Nesophrosyne sp. 90 GMB-2012. RNAcentral's name for it is "partial 16S ribosomal RNA". Lineage: Eukaryota; Metazoa; Arthropoda; Insecta; Hemiptera; Cicadellidae. The record is from RNAcentral.
UAAGAAUUUAAAAGUCGAACAGACUUAUUAUUAAGAAUACUGCUUCUUAAAAUUUUCUUAAUUCAACAUCGAGGUCGCAAAAUAUAAUAUAGAUGUGAACUCCCCAUUUAAAUUACGCUGUUAUCCCUAAGGUAACUUAUUCUUGUUGUCCUAUAUAAUAUAAAGAUCAAAAAUUACAUAAACAAUGAAUAUUAAAACUAAAGUUAAUUAUUUAGCGGCCACCCCAGCAAAAUAUAAUUAAAUAUCAAAAAUAUUGCAAAAUAAAAAUUAAUGAAAUAAUAUUAUAUAAAGUUCUAUAGGGUCUUAUCGUCCCAAUAAAUUAAUAAAGCAUUUUGACUUUAAAUUUAAAUUUUAAUUAUUAAAGAAAUAAAACAUAAUUCUCAUACAUCCAUUCAUACAAGCUUUCAAUUAAAAAACUAAUGACUAUGCUACCUUUGCACAGUCAAAAUACUGCAGCCAUUUAGAAAUCUAUUAAACCAUAGGGCAGAAGAUACUUUCCAUAAAUACG